UCCACUAUAAUAAACUCUAAUAUUAUAUAAAAUAGCGACAUCCUUACAUGAAAGGAUCAUGCACUAUGACUACAUAUUGAUCGGAUCAAAGUAUCAGAUUGAUUUUGCAAUGCGUAAAUUAAGGUACAGGAAGCUAGUUGCACAGAAUUCCCAUAGAAGAUAGAGGAGCCCUCUUUACCAUUCUGUAUAAAUAGACUAUUCUAUUUGUACGGAUAUGGUAGAGGGAGGGGCAGAUCCAAUCUUUCUUCGUCCAUAAGUUCUCGAUAAAUGACCAAAAAACUUCUAUAGGCAACCUUGAAACAGAGAUGAAUGAGCACUGCCUCAAACUUGAGUUAGGGACGCUCAAAUAUAGUUGUCUUUAUGAUUCACUAGGUGACACAUAAACAACAACAACUUUGAAAGUGGUAAGUCCCAACAAUUUGAGAUCAGAUAUAUGAAUCGUUCGUUGUUAUUGAGAUCUGUAAAAAGUUAUAUAUUAAGUUAAGUUCAGAGUACAUAGAUCUUUAUUUAUAGUUUCUAUUAGAGUCUUUUUAAGUCUUCCUCUACAUCUUCUCGUGCCACUAAUAUUUAUUAUUUCAUCUCUUCUGACAACCGUAUCCGGAUGUCUUCUAAGCACAUGCUCAUACAAUCUUAAAUAAUUUUCUCUCAUCUUAUCCUCCAUUAAAACGAUAUCUAGUUGUUCACGAAUAAAAAUAAUUUUUUUUUCCAUUUUUCCUAGAAUUCACAUAUUCAUCUCAACAGUCUCAUCUCGGCAAUACAUUUUUGUAUAUGUUGUUUCUUAACUAUCCAAAAUUGAGAUCUACAAAACAUUGUUAGUCUCACAACUGUCUAAUAAAAUUUUUCUUUUAAUCUACUAGGUGACAUAUAGCUUAGUGAAAUAUAGCAAAGGAUAAUAAGAAUUAGAAAGGGGAAUACAGAAUAAAGUGCAUGCGAUAUUUAAUGUAAGUUCUUCUGCUAUUGUUUUUCUACCUAGGUGAUUAGCCCAUUAAAAGUUUCAUUAGUAAGGACUUUAGAAAUUCUUUGACACAAAAGGAAAUACAUUGUGUCUUAAAGCUAAUUUCGUUAUUCAUCAUCAUCUGCUUGUUAGUUCAUACAUAAAGGAAGUUCCUAAAACAAAAAUAAAGUUUGCCAUUUUAUUUUUUACUUCAUUUACCUGAGUUUUGUGAUCUCAAGUAAGGUUGCCACUUUGUGCCAUUACACAAAGGUGAGCAAACAAGCACAUGCCAGUAAUAGGCCAAGGCAUGUGCCGCCACCAAUUAACUUUAAAUGGUACACAUCAAUACCAUUCUAGCAUAGAACUUGCCAACCCAUGCAGAGAUGGAAGCCAGUCCUUGAUCUUAAAUACUUCACAAAUCAACUAAAUCUGCAGAUCAACUAACAGAGAAUGCUGCAAGAGUUCAUGUCAUAUAUAAUCUAUGCUGGAGGAUGGUAUGUGCCAUUGUGCUAAAGCGCAGCAAGUGGGCAAACAUUAAACGUCAGGCAUGAUAAGUAUUGUGACAUCUGCUCACAUCAACUACUAAGGUUCAUAGGUAGACUACAAUAUGCCAGGUUCCAAUGCAUAACACCAUCCACUGUGUUAGUUAUUUUUAAUGCAGUAGGUGUUGUAUAGAAUGUACUGCCAUCUUAAUAGAAGGCUCCAUGGAUUCUAGACCUACCACCAUCGUUAUCGACAUACCAUGCCAUACAUAUGCAUUGGCAUUGGAGGAGACCAUAGGAUGACUAGGCAUCACAUGGUUACAUAUAUAUGUUAAUCAGCGUUACUAGACAAGUCGAUUAAAACGUAGUUGAAGCCAUACAUUUGUUAAUGUUGGGUUUUCACAUUGACUUUCAUCCCACUUCCUAAUGCUACUUUCAAGUAGUCAGCAUCCUACCUCCAGUAGUUUUACUUCUAAUUCAGAUCAUCAGCAUUGAUUGGAUUAGGAAAAUCCUUUCAACUAUUAGAAAUCAAAUUUUCAAAGGUUUAGAUGUCUCUUUGAAUAGGAUUUGUUACAGUUACAGUUUUACUAUCUUAGUCAAGUAAGUCUUAUAGGAGGUUAAUUACAUAUUAUACCCAAUACUUGGACCCUAUUAGCAUCGCAGUCCCUGUACUUCAAAAAUUUAUAUUAGGAUCCCUAUAGCUUUGCAAAUAAAACAAAUAACCUCAUUUGCCCAAAUGUCAUCAGCUACAUUAACGGAAAACACAACACGUGACACUACAUGUUAGAUUGGUGCAAAAGUGAAGCAAAAAAAUAAUUUCAACAUCCCUUUCGUUUCUAACAUAUGGGAUGCUGAAAUUACCUCUUUGUUGGUAAAAUCACUAGAAACAGAAAGGAUGUUGAAAUUAUCUUUUGCCAAUUACUUUUGUAUUGAUCCAGCAUGUGGUGUCAAACUGACAGCGUUAGAUUAAAUGAGAUUAUUUGUUUUAUUUUCUAAAUUUUUUAAAGUACAGGGACCGUGAUACCAAUAAAGUCCAAGUGCAUGAGGUAAUCUAUAAUUAACCCUCUUACUUUAAAUGGGAUAAUUCUAUUAACAAAAUUAUAUAUAUAUGUAUGUAUGUAUGUAUAUAUGUAUAUAUGUAUUUAUAUAUAUAUAUAUAUAUAUAUAUAUAUAUAUAUAGAAAGAAAGAAAGAAAGAAAGAAAGAAAGCUUUUCUUCCUACAUGUCAUGCUUGACAAGCUUUUUUUCCCACACACGCACACACAGGUAUGUAUAAUGUACCAAAUUCAUAUAUUUUAUCGAGAUUAUCAUCAAUGUGCCAAAUGCAUACAAGACUCUACAAAUAACAUCAAUUCCAACGAAACUAUAGAAGCACCCAAUUGAAUCCUUUCCUUGGUGUCAUUUAUAGAAGUAUCGACUAAACCGAGGUAAAUCGGGCACGGAACCAAACAAAAUCAAAAUCAAUUAGACGAGAAGGGGCAAUCCACCAGCAGCAAAAAUCUGCCUUUUGGAUUACAAAAACCCAAAGACGGCAUCAGAGAAGAACCACGCGAUUAAGAUCGAGCAAACAUCCUAAGAGACCAUCAAAAAUCGAUCCGGAAAUUGCAAUCUUUUACUAAUCGAAUUCAAUCGCGAUCUGAAAUCCCUAAAACUUUUCCGAGUCAUUCGCGUCGAAAGUAGUAGGCGGGGAGGGAACGAAAAGGGCAGACCUCGAAGAAAGCCGAAGACGAGCUUUAGGGAUCGAAUCCUUUCCUUGAAUCUAUAGAAGCACCCAAUCAAAAUCCUUUCCUUGGUGUCAUUUCUAGAACUAUCGACUAAACCGAGGUCAAUUGGGCAUGGAACCAAUUUAUAGAACUAUCGAGCCCGAGAUGGAGGAGGAGAGCCGGCUGCAGCGGAGGCGCUCCUUGGAGGACGG
RNAcentral lists this long non-coding RNA (3330 nucleotides) under Musa acuminata (dwarf banana). RNAcentral's name for it is "long non-coding RNA (MACU_LNC005140)". The record is from RNAcentral. Lineage: Eukaryota; Viridiplantae; Streptophyta; Magnoliopsida; Zingiberales; Musaceae.